GACCUCGUAGCUCAGUUGGUAGAGCAUUGGACUAGUAUCCCAAAAAAGGUCGCGGGUUCGAUUCCCACCGUGGUCA
RNAcentral lists this transfer RNA (76 nucleotides) under Paramuricea clavata. It matches the Rfam family "tRNA". From Rfam's summary of the family: Transfer RNA (tRNA) molecules are approximately 80 nucleotides in length. Their secondary structure includes four short double-helical elements and three loops (D, anti-codon, and T loops). Lineage: Eukaryota; Metazoa; Cnidaria; Anthozoa; Malacalcyonacea; Plexauridae. The record is from Rfam by way of RNAcentral.